RNAcentral lists this ribosomal RNA (798 nucleotides) under uncultured fungus. Its description in RNAcentral is "SSU rRNA". It matches the Rfam family "Eukaryotic small subunit ribosomal RNA", at positions 564 to 1378 of the family's 1831-position model. Lineage: Eukaryota; Fungi. The record is from RNAcentral.
GUGCCAGCAGCCGCGGUAAUUCCAGCUCCAAUAGCGUAUAUUAAAGUUGUUGUGGUUAAAAAGCUCGUAGUUGAACCUUGGGCCUGGCUGGCCGGUCCGCCUCACCGCGUGCACUGGUCCGGCCGGGCCUUUCCCUCUGUGGAACCCCAUACCCUUCACUGGGCGUGGCGGGGAAACAGGACAUUUACUUUGAAAAAAUUAGAGUGCUCCAGGCAGGCCUAUGCUCGAAUACAUUAGCAUGGAAUAAUAAAAUAGGACGCGCGGUUCUAUUUUGUUGGUUUAUAGGACCGCCGUAAUGAUUAAUAGGGACAGUCGGGGGCAUCAGUAUUCAACUGUCAGAGGUGAAAUUCUUGGAUCAGUUGAAGACUAACUACUGCGAAAGCAUUUGCCAAGGAUGUUUUCAUUAAUCAGGAACGAAAGUUAGGGGAUCGAAGACGAUCAGAUACCGUCGUAGUCUUAACCAUAAACUAUGCCGACUAGGGAUCGGACGGUGUUAUUCAUGACCCGUUCGGCACCUUACGAGAAAUCAAAGUGCUUGGGCUCCAGGGGGAGUAUGGUCGCAAGGCUGAAACUUAGAGAAAUUGACGGAAGGGCACCACCAGGGGUGGAGCCUGCGGCUUAAUUUGACUCACACGGGAAACUCACCAAGUCCAGACACAAUAAGGAUUGACAGAUUGAGAGCUCUUUCUUGAUUUUGUGGGUGGGGUGCAUGCCGUUCUAGUGGUGGGUGACUUGUCUGCUAAUUGCGAUAACGAACGAGACUUAACCUGCUAAAUAGCCCGCAUUGCUCCGGCAGUG